Molecule: ribosomal RNA, 253 nt
Filed under: uncultured bacterium
Lineage: Bacteria
Description: partial 16S ribosomal RNA
Rfam family: Bacterial small subunit ribosomal RNA
Source: RNAcentral
GACGAACCGAGCGAACGUUGUUCGGAAUCACUGGGCUUAAAGGGCGUGUAGGCGGGUGCUCAAGUCUGUGGUGAAAUCCUCCGGCUCAACCGGAGAACUGCCAUGGAUACUGGGUGCCUCGAGGGUGGUAGGGGUAUGCGGAACUAUCGGUGGAGCGGUGAAAUGCGUUGAUAUCGAUAGGAACUCCGGUGGCGAAGGCGGCAUACUGGACCACUUCUGACGCUGAGGCGCGAAAGCCAGGGGAGCAAACGGG